GUCAAUUUGAUUUUUAAUAUUAAAAUUUUAAAGAGUUUUCGGAAUCUUAAGAUGAGGCAGGGAUGUUGAUAGAUUAGAUCCGGAACGGAUUUUUAAAAAUUCAAAGCCAAACCUGAGAGAUUUUGAAAAUCUAUAUCAAAAACCGAAUUCGACCAAAAAUUCAAAAACAUAAAUCCCAACCCAAACCCAAAACAGUUGUUUUCCUUUAGCAUAUUUGAAAACAUUAGUAUAUUAAAAUUUAAAUUUACAAAAUAUAAAUUGAAACAUAACGUCAAACAUUCACAUAUAUUUCAUACUACCUACUGAAAAAUUUAUUCGCGUUCGGAUCGGAUACAGGCAAAAUUUAUAUUUAAAUCCAAAUUCAUCGAUUUUUUUUUUAUAUCGUACCGUUUAGUAUUGAAUAAACCCGCCCACCAUUCUAGUUUGGAUUUGGAUAAAAUUUUGAAAAUUCAUGACCAUUGAAUAUCUAGGAUGAGGAGAUAUAAACUUUAUACUAUUUUUUGGGUAUACAGAUAGCAUUUCUCAAUGCCAAAAGGUUUUUUUCUUUUAGAGAGAAAGAUAACAUGUUAUUUACUUCGUUUAUUUCUUUUAGAAAAAAACUUAGCGGAUGUGAAUUAAUUAGAAUUCAAAUUUGGAAUCUCGGAUACCAACCAUCAAGCCUUUUGCCACUUGUGCCAGGAAUGGUCGAUUUUCUCAAGGUCAAAAAGUUAAGUGCGAUUGGUGAUCAUAUAAUGGGUGGAAAAAUUUUAGAAUGCAAUACUUACAUUGCUGAUGUGGUGUUUCCAACCAAUUAAAAAAUUUAUUUAUAGAUUUUUUUCAAAAAUAUUUUUAUUAUACUAUUUUUAUAAAAAAAUUAAUUGAUAACAAAUAAAUGAUUGAGUGUAAGUGUUAUAUAGUAGA
Molecule: long non-coding RNA, 900 nt
Filed under: Ananas comosus (pineapple)
Lineage: Eukaryota; Viridiplantae; Streptophyta; Magnoliopsida; Poales; Bromeliaceae
Description: long non-coding RNA (ACOM_LNC035575)
Source: RNAcentral